UUACACAAACAAUGGUAAUGAAAUCUAAAAAUAUAUAUUUCUUUUAACACCACAGGUGGUUGGUAAAACAAGAUGGAGGAAACCUACCAGUGGGCCAAAGAAACAUCGUGAUUCAAGCAAUGGUCACAAUGAAGGCGUGUUUAACGGUAACCCUUUCACAGCUAUAACCUAAACAAGCUUUUCCCCACACUAUUUUGGCUUGACAAAGCUGUAAGUAGGUCUUCAGGCCUCGUAGAUAGAGUCUUCCUCUACUCAAAUAUUCUUUAGCUUGUUUUUAGACUGUUGAAAGGUUAUAAACCUUGUGAAUUUAUGUUUCUGUUCUUCAGGAAGAGGAUUUUAUCCAAACUUCCUCUACAAAGUGCAAAGAGCUGGAUUCCUACACAUGUCAACAUAUUUGAAGAAUCAUUGGACUUCUUGGGGGGAGUUGUGGUCCAAUUUUGGCAGAUCAUUCAAUCAUGAAAACAGUGAAACCAACAACAAGGCAGAAAGAUUCUUCCACACAAUGAAAUAUCAGUUCCUGAAGGGGGACACUAACAGGCGAAUUGACCAGCUCCUUAGCCUGCUGUAUGGUGAUGUCCACAAAUAUUACUGGUAAAUGUUAAUUGUAAUAUCCACUUAUCUUCCAAAUCUAUUAACAUUUU
RNAcentral lists this long non-coding RNA (641 nucleotides) under Sinocyclocheilus grahami. RNAcentral's name for it is "lncRNA (ENSSGRG00000040071.1)". The record is from RNAcentral. Lineage: Eukaryota; Metazoa; Chordata; Actinopteri; Cypriniformes; Cyprinidae.